This 524-nucleotide ribosomal RNA is filed under the name uncultured bacterium. RNAcentral describes it as "bacterial SSU rRNA". It matches the Rfam family "Bacterial small subunit ribosomal RNA", at positions 974 to 1505 of the family's 1533-position model. The record is from RNAcentral.
CCAGGUCUUGACACCGAGUGAAGAACUAAGAGAUUAGUUCGCCCUUCGGGCAACAAAGACAGGUGGUGCAUGGUUGUCGUCAGCUCGUGUCGUGAGAUGUUGGGUUAAGUCCCGCAACGAGCGCAACCCUUACCAUUAGUCGUACGCAAGAGCACUCUAAUGGGACUGCCGUUGACAAAACGGAGGAAGGUGGGGAUGACGUCAAAUCAUCAUGCCCCUUAUGACCUGGGCUACACACGUACUACAAUGGCAAUAGAACAGAGGGAAGCAAUACAGCGAUGUAAAGCAAAACCCGAAAAAUUGUCUCAGUUCGGAUUGCAGGCUGCAACCCGCCUGCAUGAAGUCGGAAUUGCUAGUAAUCGCAGAUCAGCAUGCUGCGGUGAAUACGUUCCCGGGCCUUGUACACACCGCCCGUCACACCAUGGGAGUCGGUAACACCCGAAGCCAGUAGUCCAACCGCAAGGGGGACGCUGUCGAAGGUGGGAUUGAUGACUGGGGUGAAGUCGUAAUCAAGGUAACCAAUC